Molecule: ribosomal RNA, 676 nt
Filed under: Brevundimonas sp. B39_1
Lineage: Bacteria; Pseudomonadati; Pseudomonadota; Alphaproteobacteria; Caulobacterales; Caulobacteraceae
Description: bacterial SSU rRNA
Rfam family: Bacterial small subunit ribosomal RNA
Source: RNAcentral
UUAGUGGCGGACGGGUGAGUAACACGUGGGAACGUGCCUUUUGGUUCGGAAUAGCUCCUGGAAACGGGUGGUAAUGCCGAAUGUGCCCUUCGGGGGAAAGAUUUAUCGCCAUUAGAGCGGCCCGCGUCUGAUUAGCUAGUUGGUGAGGUAAAGGCUCACCAAGGCUACGAUCAGUAGCUGGUCUGAGAGGAUGACCAGCCACAUUGGGACUGAGACACGGCCCAAACUCCUACGGGAGGCAGCAGUGGGGAAUCUUGCGCAAUGGGCGAAAGCCUGACGCAGCCAUGCCGCGUGAAUGAUGAAGGUCUUAGGAUUGUAAAAUUCUUUCACCGGGGACGAUAAUGACGGUACCCGGAGAAGAAGCCCCGGCUAACUUCGUGCCAGCAGCCGCGGUAAUACGAAGGGGGCUAGCGUUGCUCGGAAUUACUGGGCGUAAAGGGAGCGUAGGCGGACAUUUAAGUCAGGGGUGAAAUCCCAGAGCUCAACUCUGGAACUGCCUUUGAUACUGGAUGUCUUGAGUGUGAGAGAGGUAUGUGGAACUCCGAGUGUAGAGGUGAAAUUCGUAGAUAUUCGGAAGAACACCAGUGGCGAAGGCGACAUACUGGCUCAUUACUGACGCUGAGGCUCGAAAGCGUGGGGAGCAAACAGGAUUAGAUACCCUGGUAGUCCACGCCGU